AUGCCGCGUGUGUGAUGAAGGUCUUAGGAUCGUAAAGCACUUUCGCCAGGGAUGAUAAUGACAGUACCUGGUAAAGAAACCCCGGCUAACUCCGUGCCAGCAGCCGCGGUAAUACGGAGGGGGUUAGCGUUGUUCGGAAUUACUGGGCGUAAAGCGUACGUAGGCGGAUUGGAAAGUUGGGGGUGAAAUCCCAGGGCUCAGCCCUGGAACUGCCUCCUAAACUAUCACUCUAGAGUUCGAGAGAGGUGAGUGGAAUUCCAAGUGUAGAGGUGAAAUUCGUAGAUAUUUGGAGGAACACCAGUGGCUAAGGCGGCUCACUGGCUCGAUACUGACGCUGAUGUACGAAAGUGUGGGGAGCAAACAGGAUUAGAUACCCUGGUAGUCCACACCGUAAACGAUGAAUGCCAGUCGUCGGGCAGUAUACUGUUCGGUGACACACCUAACGGAUUAAGCAUUCCGCCUGGGGAGUACGGUCGCAAGAUUAAAACUCAAAG
RNAcentral lists this ribosomal RNA (494 nucleotides) under Sulfitobacter pontiacus. RNAcentral describes it as "bacterial SSU rRNA". It matches the Rfam family "Bacterial small subunit ribosomal RNA", at positions 394 to 906 of the family's 1533-position model. Lineage: Bacteria; Pseudomonadati; Pseudomonadota; Alphaproteobacteria; Rhodobacterales; Roseobacteraceae. The record is from RNAcentral.